AUUGAACGCUGGCGGCAGGCCUAACACAUGCAAGUCGAACGGUAGCACAGAGGAGCUUGCUCCUUGGGUGACGAGUGGCGGACGGGUGAGUAAUGUCUGGGAAACUGCCCGAUGGAGGGGGAUAACUACUGGAAACGGUAGCUAAUACCGCAUAACGUCGCAAGACCAAAGAGGGGGACCUUCGGGCCUCUUGCCAUCGGAUGUGCCCAGAUGGGAUUAGCUAGUAGGUGGGGUAACGGCUCACCUAGGCGACGAUCCCUAGCUGGUCUGAGAGGAUGACCAGCCACACUGGAACUGAGACACGGUCCAGACUCCUACGGGAGGCAGCAGUGGGAAUAUUGCACAAUGGGCGCAAGCCUGAUGCAGCCAUGCCGCGUGUAUGAAGAAGGCCUUCGGGUGUAAAGUACUUUCAGCGAGGAGGAAGGCGUUGUGGUUAAUAACCGCAACGAUUGACGUUACUCGCAGAAG
RNAcentral lists this ribosomal RNA (468 nucleotides) under uncultured bacterium. RNAcentral's name for it is "bacterial SSU rRNA". It matches the Rfam family "Bacterial small subunit ribosomal RNA", at positions 30 to 487 of the family's 1533-position model. The record is from RNAcentral.